Molecule: long non-coding RNA, 1033 nt
Filed under: Rattus norvegicus (Norway rat)
Lineage: Eukaryota; Metazoa; Chordata; Mammalia; Rodentia; Muridae
Description: long non-coding RNA NONRATT031505
Source: RNAcentral
GGUUAAGUUCCAUGACUACAGGGCAUGGUGGAAGGAGGAGGAGUCUGAGGUAUGACAUCUAGAAUCACAAGUACAAAGCAGGUGGCGCAUUGAGAGUGGUGCACAGCACUGAAACUUCAAUGCCCAGUCCUGCUGAUAUUCUUUCUCCAGCAAGGGCACACCUCCUGAAUCUUCCCAAACAGAGUCACCAACUGGGAAAGGAGUACUCAAAUGCCCGAGACAGUGGAGGAUAGCUCAUUCAAAAUGUCAUGGUGAUUCAGGAAUUCGAAUCAGUAACAGAGAGAACCUUCACUCUGGGUCAAUGUGUGUUGCUGCAGAGCCAGCAAGCUGCUCUCCCUCCUCUUGCCCAUAAGAUGUGGAUUAAGUUAAAAUGUAAACAAGCAUCUCCAUGGAAAAUCAACAGCCCUGUUAAUCUGGUCAUACUCAAAGGAUAGGUCUAGAGGUGCUGGACACUGAAAUCAUAGAAGGAGCCAACACAAACUCAAACCCUUUAGUCUUCAGGAAUAAAAAUACCACAGAAGCCAAACGGGGCAAGGACAUGAAGCAAACACUCACUCACUCAGCAGAUAAAAUUACACCUAGUCCUAACUCACAGACCUACUUCUUAAACAGCUUAUAUUCUGCUAGUACCUAUUCAACACGAUCCUAAAUGCUGCAAUCAAACCAAAUGGUUCCUUAUUUUGUGGAGUAUGACUUAAAAAUACUAAAGUCCUCUGAAGGAAGCGAAUGGAAUCUUCUCAGGGCCUAGGGAGGUCGGCUAAGAGUGUACAAAAUAACAAAACAACACCACCCAAUUUCCCCACCAGGAAGCAGAAACUGGUCUGCUGUCAGUUGUCAAUUCCUGAGGGUUUAACAGAAGCCUACAGACUGGAAGGACUGAGGAUCCAAAAGAAAAAUGCAUCAACGCAGCACUUACCUGUCCACACUGAAACACCAUGAAUGAACAGAGUGCAAGAAAUGGUAGAAACAGCCUCAGCAAGGAGAAAGUCAACUGUCAGGUUGUGAAGACUCCUUCACAUACUGCAGAGACAAG